This 1189-nucleotide ribosomal RNA is filed under the name Escherichia coli. RNAcentral describes it as "partial 23S ribosomal RNA". It matches the Rfam family "Bacterial large subunit ribosomal RNA", at positions 1 to 1230 of the family's 2925-position model. Lineage: Bacteria; Pseudomonadati; Pseudomonadota; Gammaproteobacteria; Enterobacterales; Enterobacteriaceae. The record is from RNAcentral.
GGUUAAGCGACUAAGCGUACACGGUGGAUGCCCUGGCAGUCAGAGGCGAUGAAGGACGUGCUAAUCUGCGAUAAGCGUCGGUAAGGUGAUAUGAACCGUUAUAACCGGCGAUUUCCGAAUGGGGAAACCCAGUGUGAUUCGUCACACUAUCAUUAACUGAAUCCAUAGGUUAAUGAGGCGAACCGGGGGAACUGAAACAUCUAAGUACCCCGAGGAAAAGAAAUCAACCGAGAUUCCCCCAGUAGCGGCGAGCGAACGGGGAGCAGUCCAGAGCCUGAAUCAGUGUGUGUGUUAGUGGAAGCGUCUGGAAAGGCGCGCGAUACAGGGUGACAGCCCCGUACACAAAAAUGCACAUACUGUGAGCUCGAUGAGUAGGGCGGGACACGUGGUAUCCUGUCUGAAUAUGGGGGGACCAUCCUCCAAGGCUAAAUACUCCUGACUGACCGAUAGUGAACCAGUACCGUGAGGGAAAGGCGAAAAGAACCCCGGCGAGGGGAGUGAAAAAGAACCUGAAACCGUGUACGUACAAGCAGUGGGAGCACGCUUAGGCGUGUGACUGCGUACCUUUUGUAUAAUGGGUCAGCGACUUAUAUUCUGUAGCAAGGUUAACCGAAUAGGGGAGCCGAAGGGAAACCGAGUCUUAACUGGGCGUUAAGUUGCAGGGUAUAGACCCGAAACCCGGUGAUCUAGCCAUGGGCAGGUUGAAGGUUGGGUAACACUAACUGGAGGACCGAACCGACUAAUGUUGAAAAAUUAGCGGAUGACUUGUGGCUGGGGGUGAAAGGCCAAUCAAACCGGGAGAUAGCUGGUUCUCCCCGAAAGCUAUUUAGGUAGCGCCUCGUGAAUUCAUCUCCGGGGGUAGAGCACUGUUUCGGCAAGGGGGUCAUCCCGACUUACCAACCCGAUGCAAACUGCGAAUACCGGAGAAUGUUAUCACGGGAGACACACGGCGGGUGCUAACGUCCGUCGUGAAGAGGGAAACAACCCAGACCGCCAGCUAAGGUCCCAAAGUCAUGGUUAAGUGGGAAACGAUGUGGGAAGGCCCAGACAGCCAGGAUGUUGGCUUAGAAGCAGCCAUCAUUUAAAGAAAGCGUAAUAGCUCACUGGUCGAGUCGGCCUGCGCGGAAGAUGUAACGGGGCUAAACCAUGCACCGAAGCUGCGGCAGCGACGCUGAUGCGUUGUUGGGUA